This is a long non-coding RNA of Sardina pilchardus (European sardine), 945 nucleotides long. RefSeq lists it as uncharacterized. The record is from RefSeq and is a predicted model, not a curated record. The transcript has 6 exons. Lineage: Eukaryota; Metazoa; Chordata; Actinopteri; Clupeiformes; Clupeidae.
GCGUGAACGACUUAUUCAACCAAAUAAUCAAGCAAACUUGUUCUAAAUCUUUCAAUUUACGGUAGUAUUUGUUUGUCUUACGCCACAAUAUGGUGCAGGACAGAAAAUCGCUUCCUGCAAGCUAACUUCAGUGUCCACAACAUGGAAACUUCUCUGCUGUAUUUAUUGGUUGGAUAUUCGGUUUCUAAAGUUAUCGUUUCAGCCUUAAUGUUCGAAAUUGUUUACUCGAUUGUGGAAAAAGGUUAUGUGUAACGAACUCCGGUCUAGUGUUCACCAUAGACACUGGGUAUAUUAAACUUAAUGCUAAGAUCUGUGGCCCUAUCGAAGUCGAUUUAGCCUGCACGUGGCUGAAUCGGUCAAUCUGGUGCCUACAGUAAAAUCUUUUACCGACGGUCGCUGUUUAGCUUUGAUGUAGCUUUCCAGCAACACCAAAGGAAAAGGACAACACUUAAAUUAGCAUCGUAAGCUAAUCGCUUUAGCCGUUUGCCCUGCCCUUAUUCAACAUGUUUCACAGUGCCGUUUUUUCAUUGUUCUAGGUUCAUACACUAUGCUGACCACCAUGGACAUGCUUCUGACUGAGCAGCGCGAAUAUCAGACCUCAUGGGAUGUCCCCUAAAGGAUGAUUAUGCGCCUAAUCUUCACAAGGUUGAAUGUCUCGAAGACUACAUUGCUGCAUCCCUGGCAGAUGUCAUGAGGCGAGCAUGUUUCCACUGAAAGGGUGUGCGGCUUGCCAUGCAGGAGCAGUUUUUGAAUACAAGGGUAUUGGUGUGAAGUGUUCUCUCAGUAUUGCAGAGUGUGCUGUACAGCAAUCAAGGGUGAUGGUAUAAAGGCUGAGUGUUGCAGCAUGUACUGUACAGCAAGCCUCAAGGUAUAUGGGACUGUCCAGAGGGAUGUUGGGUGUGACGGAUACCACUUCCAUCUGAAAUAAAAUGUAUCUGGACUGAA